Molecule: long non-coding RNA, 1335 nt
Organism: Oreochromis aureus
Lineage: Eukaryota; Metazoa; Chordata; Actinopteri; Cichliformes; Cichlidae
Source: Ensembl
AUAAUUUACGAGAGCGGAUGACAACAGGGCAACUUCCAAUACUUGCAAAGUAGAUAUUUCAUUUAAAGGAGGAAACACUAUGAAAAUGCAAAAGCAUUUGCUCACAAAACACGGGAUAACCUUAAAUGAAUGUCGUGUUUUUAAUUCCGCUCCGGACUCGUGAAUCUCAACCCAGCAGCAGCGGUAACGUUUGCACGUCCUCUCCCGUUAAUGCGGCAGGUGACCAUGAUGAGAGAGACAGACAGAGUCUGGCUGGCUCAGAUGCUGGCAGUUCUCGCUGCAGUCUACCGUUAGCGUCUCCUCUCAGGCCAGGAUGAAUGUCACCGAGCAGUGACUAAGUUUGUGGUCAAAGGCUUGCACCCAUUUGCCACAGCAGAUGCCCCGAUUUUCGGGCUGUUUGAUGACGAUUUGGACUCCUCUGGGAGAUGAGGACACACCCACAUCUGUUCAAUACUGCAGCCAUUGAUGGUGUUACGGCUCUGAGUCAGCUUUGGGCAUCAGACGCACACACUGGAAAACCAGCACCUGGACUUCAUGCAGGAGAGACGGCCUCAGUGAUGAUGGACUCUGCAUCCUCUACUUUACCUCCUAAUCUCUUUCUCCUUUAACACACAAUUAAAAUCAUUCCAAAAGCGUGUAAACUUACUGAGGAAGUCUCUAACUUGUAUACAUUUGUACUUUUACUUGCUUUAGGAGUUAUAUUUAAGAAGAGUAAAGUUAUUCACAAAAAGUCUUUAUUCUUCUGUAUUUAUUCUUUUGUAUUAUGUACCACAGUCAUACUGAACUUUACAGACCUGGUGAAUUGGAAAAAAAUCAUCUAUCUAUCUAUAUAUGUAUGUAUAUGUAUAUGUUUAUAUAUAUAUGAAUGAAUCAUUGAGCUUCAGCAGUAUUUCUAUUCAUCUUAUGAAUUCCAGUUGUAUAAAAGGCUCUGAGAUUUUAUGGCUAUGUUCUACAAUAUUGUGUGGGGUGGAGUCGCAGGAAAUUACGUAGGCAGAAGUUUGGGGUACAGCGCUGCUACUCCAGAAGGGGAGAUUGUCUUUCCGUUUUAGUUCUGUUUUACCUCGUCACGUAAGCUGUGUUCCUGGUUGCCAUCCUUUCUGCCCUUUCUGUGUUAGGAGCCAGAGAUGUAACAUUGGUAUUAUUCGAGUCAUAUGUUAUGUUAUGUAUAUAUUCAGAUGGAUGUGUUGGUUUAUUUCAUUUAAUAUUUUAUGUUUAUCUUAGUGGAGCUGUUGCUGUAUAUAUUUAUAUACUCAUGGCAAUUUGUUUGUUACUAUAGACUGCUGUCAACACUGAGCAUCUAGGUGGCAAUAAAACAGCUGGCGGUGAAAAUCCAGC